This is a long non-coding RNA of Rhineura floridana, 3175 nucleotides long. RefSeq lists it as uncharacterized. The record is from RefSeq and is a predicted model, not a curated record. The transcript has 4 exons. NCBI's taxonomy places the organism in Eukaryota, Metazoa, Chordata, Lepidosauria, Squamata, Rhineuridae.
UUUCCAUGCAACUGGCUCAUAAUGGCUCUGCAACGUGCCUCUUCUGAGCAGCUUUACAGAACUGGUCUUUGUCAGUCGUGACUUCCUCAGUACACAACAGAGGCUACAGACAACCAAUUGAUACCCACACUCUCAGAGCAACCACUUCGUUCUAUGAAAUUGUCCUAGAAGAAUUUGGAUGGGGGGAGGAUCAAAAGACUGUGACCACAAUGUCAAGAGGAGCAGGUGGAUCUGUGUAUCUACCAACCAGAACAUCCAAGGGAAAGGGCAAAGCAUGAUGAUUGUUGUACCCCAGCAGCCCUUCAUAUGGAAACAGAGGCUACAAGCAGGCAGGAGACAAAUAAGCUACCAGCAGCAAUUUCUGGUCCUGAUUUCAUCAGAAUUCUCUAUCUUCCCUGUCAGCAAGCUAUCAUAAGAAUGUAAGAAGAGCCUGCUGGAUCAGGUCAAUGGCCCAUCUAGUCCAGCAUCCUGUUCUCACAGUGGCCAACCAGAUGCCUAUGGAAAGCCCGCAAACAAGAGCACUCCUCCCUGCUGUGGUUUCCAGCAACUCAUCUUGGAAGCACACUGUUUCUGACCAUGGCGACAGAGCAUAGCCAUCAUGGCUAGGCAAACACAUUGAUCACAAGCCCCAUGCCAGAGCAAAUAAUGAUGCUGGUGCAUGCAGGCCUAGCAUCAGCACUUGGGAUAUUGGGGCAUUUGCUUGGACCCACACACCCCACCAGGGCUGAUGUGUUGACUGCUCCCAGUACUCACUGCCUGCAGUGGCAGCUCUGCUGCAGCCGCCAGCCUCCCCUUCAUGCACUUGCUUGCAGACCUACCCAGAGGCAGUGCUAGGUUAGAAGCCAGGCAGCUACCUGAGUCUUGGCCCACUGUAAUACUACCACUGGUGGAGAAGUGUACAGGCAAACAAAAGGGUGAGGCUAGCAGCUGCCCUACCUCCUCUCACUUGCUUGAGAGUAGCUUUACCCAGCAGCAGCAGUGCUGUAAUGUUCUGGGAGUCAGGUAGAUGUUCAAUUCCCAGCCCAUCACAGAAGUGUUGCCACCACUAGGUUUUAUUUAUUAUUUAUUUAUUAUUUAAUUUGUAUCCCACCCUUCCUCCCAGCAGGAGCCCAGGGCGGCAAACAAAGCACUAAAAACACUUUAAAACAUCAUAAAAACAGAUCUUAAAAGACAUUAAAACAAAACAGUGUUCAAACCAUUUUUUUUAAAUCAACUUUAAAAAAGGGUUAAAAACAUUAUUAAAAAACAUAUUAAGCAAUUCUAACACAGACGCAGACUGGGAUAGGUCUCAACUUAAAAGGCUUGUUGAAAGAGGAAAGUCUUCAAAAGGCACUGAAAAGAUAGCAGAGAUGGCACCUGCCUAAUAUUUAAAGGGAGGGAAUUCCACAGGGUAGGUCUCGCCACACUAAAGGUCUGUUUCCUAUGUUGUGCAGAACGGACCUCCUGAUAAGAUGGUAUCUGCAGGAGGCCCCCACUUGCAGAGCGCAGUGAUCAACUGGGCAUAUAAGGGGUAAGACAGUCUUUCAGGUAUCCUGGUCCCAAGCUGUAUAGGGCUUUGUACACCAAAACUAGAACCUAAACUUGGCCCAGUAGUAAAUGGGCAGCCAGUGCAAUUCUUUCAGCAGCAGGGUGACAUGUUGGCAAUACCCUGCCCCAGUGAGCAGUCUCAUCGCUGCAUUUUGCACCAGCUGCAGCUUCCAAACCAACCUCAAGGGCAGCCCCUCAUAGAGCGCAUUCCAGCAAUCCAGCCUGAAGGUUACCAGUGCGUGGACACCAGUGGUCAGGCUAUCCCAGUCCAGAAACUGCCGCAGUUGUCUUAUCUGCCGAAGCUGGUAAAAGGCACUCCUAGCCACGGAGGUCACCUGGGCCUCUAGUGACAAAGAUGGAUCCAGGAGCACCCCCAGGCUACGGACCUGCUCUUUCAGAGGGCGUACGACCGCAGGUUAGCUCACAAGAUGGUGAGACUGGCAGCAUCGCAGUGCCACUGCCAGGUGGGGGCAAACGGUGGUAGACACUGAGAAUAUGGUCAGCAUUGGGGUUGCCCUCCAAAGAUGGCUUUCCUGGACCUGACCAUCCCCAUAGGAACUGGGCCUGCCAUGCACAGAUGGAAAGACAGCACAGGGUAGACACAAAGUGCAAAUAUAUCACAGCUUUAUGCGUGUAUAUGCAGCACAGAUUGAUACAGAGUCUUGAGUAGGUGUACAAUUAAUUUUUAAAAUGUUGCUGUUAUAAUAAUAAUAAUAAUAAAUUUUAUUUGUUGGUCGCCUAUCUGUCCAGAUUAGUGGACACUCUAGGCGACUUGCAAUAAUAAAAAGCAGUACAUGAUAUACAAUAUAAUAUACAAACAAAACACAAUCAAAUCAAUUUAAAACCAAUUUCCAGUUAAUGUUAUGUUGUUGUGAUGUUACUAGCUGCCCGUAGGAUAUGAAUAGCCAUCACAUCUGCAAGCAAUGGUAGUCACCACAACUGGUGCAUAAGACCAGACUGCAGAUUUCACUAGGAAUAGGGAGAUCUAGGUAAAAAUCCCCAUUCAGCCACAAAGCUUACUGUGUGAUCUUGAGUCUCUCUCUCUCUCUUUCAUCCCAACCAACCUCAGAGUUUUGUUGUGAGGAUAAAUGGGAGGGUAGAAUUAUAUAUGCUCCCCUGAGCUCCUUCGGGAAAGAUGGGAUAUAAAUGCAAUAUAUAACCCUAACAUUGAUGAAAGAAUGAAAGAAAGAAUGAAUGAAUGAACCUGCUGUGCUGUGCUCCCAAUUAGAAGCAAUUUGUAACUUGUGUUCAGAAAGAUUACCUAGAGGACUGACAUGUUUCACAAUAAGCCAAACUGAGAAGAUUGCAGUCCUAUACUCACUCACUUGAGUCCCAUUGAACUCAGUGGGACUUAUGUAUGUGCAGACAUGCAUAAGAUUACACUGAAGUGUUUUCACAUCACUUUAUGUGUGGAGUUUGGUUUUGGUUUUCCUUUACUUUUUUUUCUUUUUGUAAUGUGAAUUUUGUCAAAGGCUCUGCUAACUUUCAUAGCUCAGCCACAAACCCAGGUGCCAUCUAUUCUGGCUUAUGCAACCAACAGUGAAACAUAAAUCUUUAAACAAUUGCUGAAGUGUUGGGGUUACCUUGACUCCACAUCAGUUAAACUAAUUGCUUGUUAGAAGACAUAUCACCACUGCUGUUGCUGCUA